Long non-coding RNA from Bombus pascuorum, 526 nucleotides. RefSeq lists it as uncharacterized. The record is from RefSeq and is a predicted model, not a curated record. The transcript has 2 exons. NCBI's taxonomy places the organism in Eukaryota, Metazoa, Arthropoda, Insecta, Hymenoptera, Apidae.
UCGCUUCGGCACUGGCGGACACGUCUAUGAAAGCAACAGCAAAUAACGAAUGAAUUAAGAAGCAUGUGUGAAUUGUAAUUGAUUUCUUGUCAACGUUAUAAUUGAAAUGCUCUUCGAUUAAAAAUGAAAAUAAGGAUAAAUGUUAAGAUAAAUAUCGAUUGCAAUUGAAAUUUUAUGAAGCAGGAAAGACAAUGAGAUAAAUUUCACUAAAUGUACAUACCACCGUGUGCCCCUGAAUCGCCAUAGCCACCAGCAGCACCUCCAGCAGUGGCGGAAGCCUCAGCCUUUGCACUGGCACUAGCUCCUCCAAAUCCACCGGCUCCAGAUCCACCAAAUCCACUUCCAGCGCCUUUGGUUGGGCUUCCAAAGCCACCGAGUCCACUUGAUCCAGUACUUCCAGCAUUUGCUAUAGCGUCAGCUUUAGCACUUGCUCCAGCAUUUGCACCAGCGGUUCCAGCAGCGCCAUUACCAAAGCCGGGUCCAGACGUUCCAUAGAUAGGAGCACCUUUGCUUGGAGCACCGGAAC